Long non-coding RNA from Girardinichthys multiradiatus, 344 nucleotides. RefSeq lists it as uncharacterized. NCBI's taxonomy places the organism in Eukaryota, Metazoa, Chordata, Actinopteri, Cyprinodontiformes, Goodeidae. The record is from RefSeq and is a predicted model, not a curated record. The transcript has 3 exons.
ACUGGAGGUCUCACUCUGACUGAGCUUCAGAGAACCGGGAACUGGAGGUCUCACUCUGACUGAUAGUCAUUUUUUUAUUGAUAUAAUUUAUUUUAUUUCUUCCUUUUCUAUCUGCGUAGGCACGUGGAAAAACAGAGGCUAAGGCCCCAUCACGUCACAUCUUUUUUCUUCUUCUACUCCUUUAAUGAAGGUGUGCUGGGUGACAGGUGCGACUUAUUCCGCUGAUUGCCAGGAGUACUUAAGCAGGAGGCUGCCAGCACUUCAAUGCGAGUGUUUUACCACAUUGAUUUUGAAAGCCUAAGCUUUGGAUCUAUGUCAUUGAGUUUUCUGGACUAUGUUUCUGA